Molecule: long non-coding RNA, 1058 nt
Organism: Tigriopus californicus
Lineage: Eukaryota; Metazoa; Arthropoda; Copepoda; Harpacticoida; Harpacticidae
Exons: 3
Source: RefSeq, a predicted model, not a curated record
GCACGCAGGUCCAGGAGUUGCGCCAGCGCGUGGUUGGCAGCCCAACACGAGCGCCAACAACUGGCGCUCACGCUCAAGGAGCGCGACAACGAGCUCACGGCCAAGGACUACAAGAUCCAACAAGCCCGCAAAAUGGUGGAGGACGAGCGACGCGGGCGACUAGCCGCCGAACAAGAUCGCGAUGCCUUUGCCCAACAGUUGGACAUGCUGAAGGAUAUCCUCCUGUCGCCCAAUUCGGAGCGCGUUUUUUGACAAUGAAACUUUAGAACGAGUGCGUCACAUCGACACGACGCGUCGCCAUUCGCCCUACAAAGGCCCCCCCACCUUUAGCCGCGGCUCGAAGAGUCCAUCGAAUCCAUCUUGGAUGUGUCGGACUUAAGCUUCGACGACAACACGCGCGACAAUCUGGAAGUUUCGCGGAAUCGUCAGAAACGCCGUUCCUCAGCCCGACAUGAAGCCAAGAAAGCUCGGAAAUCUCGCAGCUUAGGCAAUCGUUUAGACAGUGGGAGCAGAUUCUCACCACCACAACCCGUGUCAUAGUGGACCAAGCCGGCCAGCCUCAUGCCGAAUCCGUCAUUGAAGCCGUUCCCGUCAAGAUGGACGUGUCGAUGCGCGAAUGAAACGAGCCGCACGCAAGCCCGCGAAUCGCGCGGGAGAGACGGGUUACUUACAAUGAGCGACCCGAGUUCGAACCCAGUGCCCCGCCUUACAAUGGUGAGGAUUGGCCACCACGCCCCGAGUCAAGCGUCAUAUCAGCAACGCCAGCUCUGUCCCCCUCGGCCGCAUUUCUUUACGAAGAAAGCGUGGUCGUCUCGGAGAAGUGCCAACCUUGUGGAAAGCGCAUGGGAUUCAGGAAACAUGCUUGAAAUGUCGUGACUGUGGGGUGACUUGUCACCCCGACUGCCGCAACGAUGUCCCCAUCCCUGCAUGGGCCCCGGUAACCGGACUCCAACGCCCGACCCAAUGAAAAAGCUGCUUUGGUGGACUUUUGCUCCAAUGAACCCCCCAUGAUUCCCGCCAUCUUGAUGCACUGCAUCCGAGAAGUGGAAGCCCGAGGU